Long non-coding RNA from Pecten maximus, 162 nucleotides. RefSeq lists it as uncharacterized. Lineage: Eukaryota; Metazoa; Mollusca; Bivalvia; Pectinida; Pectinidae. The transcript has 2 exons. The record is from RefSeq and is a predicted model, not a curated record.
GAGGGAGAAAGUGCGUGAAAAAAAUCGCGACAUUUUUGUUACUUUAGGUGAUGUUCCUCAUGGGCUUGCGCAGGUGUAAAUUACCACGGGCUAUACAUUUUGGUAUUUAAAUUUGACAGCAAUGGUUAAUUUUAAAGAAUAAUAAUAAUUAAAAAAAAAAAA